GACGAACGCUGGCGGCGUGCUUAACACAUGCAAGUCGAACGGUGAAGCGCCUUCCUUUUUGGUGGGUGUGGAUGAGUGGCGAACGGGUGAGUAACACGUGAGUAACCUGCCCCCUUCUUCUGGAUAACCGCAUGAAAGUGUGGCUAAUACGGGAUAUUCUGGGUCUGUCGCAUGAUGGGUCUGGGAAAGAUAUUGUUUCGGUGGGGGAUGGGCUCGCGGCCUAUCAGCUUGUUGGUGGGGUGAUGGCCUACCAAGGCGGUGACGGGUAGCCGGCCUGAGGGGGUGGACGGUCACACUGGGACUGAGACACGGCCCAGACUCCUACGGGAGGCAGCAGUGGGGAAUAUUGCACAAUGGGCGCAAGCCUGAUGCAGCGACGCCGCGUGAGGGAUGGAGGCCUGCGGGUUGUGAACCUCCUUCGCCAGUGAAGCAGGCCUGCCUCGUUUGUGGGUGGGUUGACGGUAGCUGGAUAAGAAGCGCCGGCUAACUACGUG
RNAcentral lists this ribosomal RNA (494 nucleotides) under uncultured bacterium. Its description in RNAcentral is "partial 16S ribosomal RNA". It matches the Rfam family "Bacterial small subunit ribosomal RNA", at positions 28 to 507 of the family's 1533-position model. The record is from RNAcentral.